GCCAGCCUCUGUUCUAUCCUGCCGGUGCAUCGUAUAACCAGCCUCUGUUCUGUCCUGCCGGUGCAUCGUAUAACCAGCCUCUGUUCUGUCCUGCCGGUGCAUCGUAUAACCAGCCUCUGUUCUAUCCUGCCGGUGCAUCGUAUAACCAGCCUCUGUUCUGUCCUGCCGGUGCAUCAUAUAACCAGCCUCUGUUCUAUCCUGCCGGUGCAUCGUAUAACCAGCCAGCCUCUGUUCUAUCCUGCCGGUGCAUCGUAUAACCAGCCACGCCUCUGUUCUGUCCUGCCGGUGCAUCGUAUAACCAGCCAGCCUCUGUUCUGUCCUGCCGGUGCAUCGUAUAACCAGCCACGCCUCUGUUCUGUCCUGCCGGUGCAUCGUAUAACCAGCCUCUCCUCUGUUCUGUCCUGCCGGUGCAUCGUAUAACCAGCCACGCCUCUGUUCUGUCCUGCCGGUGCAUCGUAUAACCAGCCAGCCUCUGUUCUAUCCUGCCGGUGCAUCGUAUAAC
This is a long non-coding RNA of Oncorhynchus tshawytscha (Chinook salmon), 502 nucleotides long. The record is from Ensembl. NCBI's taxonomy places the organism in Eukaryota, Metazoa, Chordata, Actinopteri, Salmoniformes, Salmonidae.